AUACAUAGGGGGCUAGCUUUGUCCGGAAUUACUGGGCGUAAAGGGUGCGUAGGUGGUAGUGUAUGUUGGAAGUGUAAUCCCUCGGGCUUAACUCAGGGGCUGCUUCCAAAACUACAUUGCUUGAGUAUCGGAGAGGAAAACGGAAUUCCUAGUGUAGCGGUGAAAUGCGUAGAUAUUAGGAGGAACACCAGAGGCGAAGGCGGUUUUCUGGACGAUAACUGACACUGAGGCACGAAAGCGUGGGGAGCGAUUGGGAUUAGAUACCCCAGUAGUCCACGCUGUAAAUGAUGGGUACUUGACGUUGGGAGUAUCAACUCUUCCAGUGUCGUAGCUAACGCAUUAAGUACCCCGCCUGGGGAGUACGAUCGCAAGGUUGAA
Molecule: ribosomal RNA, 378 nt
Filed under: uncultured bacterium
Lineage: Bacteria
Description: bacterial SSU rRNA
Rfam family: Bacterial small subunit ribosomal RNA
Source: RNAcentral